Molecule: ribosomal RNA, 576 nt
Filed under: Chelonibia testudinaria
Lineage: Eukaryota; Metazoa; Arthropoda; Thecostraca; Balanomorpha; Chelonibiidae
Description: eukaryotic LSU rRNA
Rfam family: Eukaryotic large subunit ribosomal RNA
Source: RNAcentral
UGAUCAGAGGAGCUGGGCUCCUUGCGAGCUCAACCUAUUCUCAAACUUUCAAUGGGUGAGACGUCUCGCUGGCUUCACUGCAGCGACGACUCUGAAUCCGAGUGCCCAGUGGGCCACUUUUGGUAAGCAGAACUGGCGAUGCGGGAUGAACCGCAUGUCGAGUUAAGGUGCCUAAGCGGACGCAAAUCAGAUACCAUGAAAGGUGUUGAUUGCUCACGACAGCAGGACGGUGGCCAUGGAAGUCGGCAUCCGCUAAGGAGUGUGUAACAACUCACCUGCCGAAGCAAUCAGCCCUGAAAAUGGAUGGCGCUAAAGCGUUCCACCGAUACUCGACCGUCGUCGGCACGCGACCGGCCCCUGGGCCGGUCUCAGGCCACGACGAGUAGGGCGGCGCGGUGGUGAGCGUCGAAGGCGUAGCCGUGAGGCUAGCUGGAGCCGCCAUCGGUGCAGAUCUUGGUGGUAGUAGCAAAUACACAAGCAAGAUCCUUGUGGACCGAUGUGGAGAAGGGUUCCGCGCGAACAGUACUUGGACGUGGGUGAGUCGGCCCUAAGCCAACGGGUAAUUCCCGCAUCCCG